UUUCAUUAAGAAAUGGCUGAUGACUCAUCAGAUUUCUGUCUAAGUUCUCCUGACACACCAGAAACAUAUGAUUAUCGCCCAGUAAAAGAAAUGGGCACAGCUACUGGGAACAAUCCCUCACAGACCAUAGAGGAUACAACAAAGCAAACGUGCAAAAUCAAGAAAAAUAAGAAGGAAAAGAAAGAAAAACAUCUGCAUAUGAAAGUUAGUUAUGAAAAGAAAGAAAAGAAUCUGGAAGCAAGAGAGAUUGCUGUAGAAAAGAGAGAAACUCAUCAGGAUAGAAGAGAAAUUCAUCUGGAAGAGAGAGAAAAGCAUCUGAAUGAAAAAGAAACGAAUUUAGUAGAAAAAGAAAAGCACCUACAACAAAAAGAAAUUACUUUGCAAGAGAAAGGAAAGCAUCUGGAUGGAAAAGAAGUUCAGUUUGAAGAAAAAGAAAAGCAUCUGGAUGGAAAAGAAAUGAAUUUAGCAGAAAAAGAAAAGCAUCUACAGCAAAGAGGGAUUCAUUUGCAAGAGAAAGAAAAGCAUCUGGAUGGAAAAGAAGUUCAAUUUGAAGAGAAAGAAAAACAACUGUUUGUAAGAGAGAUUAAUUUGGGGAAAAGAUCAAAAUAUCUAGAGGGAAGAGAGACUCGCUUGCAAGAGAGAACAAAACAUCUGGAAGAAAAAGACAUUCUUUAGAAGGAAGCUUAAAGCAUCUGUUGGGGAGAGAGAAUAGUUUGCAAGAGAGAACAAAACAUCUGGAAGAAAAAGAAGUUUCUUUAGAUGAACGUUUAAAGCAUCUGUUGGGAGAGAGAAUAGUUGCAAGAGAGAGGAAAGUGUCUGGAUGGAAGAGAGGUUCAACUGGAAAAGAGGGAAAUGCGUAUAGAUAGAAGAGAGAGUCGUGUGGAUGAGAGAGAACAGCGCCUGGAGGGAAAGGAGAUUCAUUUGGAAGAGAAAGAAAAAAAUCUUGCACAACAUGACCUGAGACAUCUUAAUUCUGCAGAUAGAGAAAAUGAAAAACAGGAAAGAAGUUCAUUCAUGAAAAGUUCCAAGAAGCAAAAGAGAGAACAUCCUGAUGAAGAAGAGAAAGAGCACUCUGUUGAUGAGUAACCCAUUCAGUGUAGAAACAGACAGUAGACCUGGUGAGUCAACAGAAAAUAGUUUUUUUCUGUGUAUCUCCAUUUAUUACUCAUUUUCUCUGAAGGACAAUUUUCUCACAUCACUAGAUGUGAGAUAGACUAGAUAGACUGAUGUUUGUCC
Ictalurus punctatus (channel catfish) is the source of this 1236-nucleotide long non-coding RNA. NCBI's taxonomy places the organism in Eukaryota, Metazoa, Chordata, Actinopteri, Siluriformes, Ictaluridae. The record is from Ensembl.